This 373-nucleotide unclassified non-coding RNA is filed under the name uncultured Alphaproteobacteria bacterium. Its description in RNAcentral is "contains 16S-23S intergenic spacer region". The record is from RNAcentral. Lineage: Bacteria; Pseudomonadati; Pseudomonadota; Alphaproteobacteria.
UCCGGCUUAUCACCGGCGGUUUCUUUAGAGUGCCCAACUAAAUGAUGGCAACUAAAGACGAGGGUUGCGCUCGUUGCGGGACUUAACCCAACAUCUCACGACACGAGCUGACGACAGCCAUGCACCACCUGUCACCCGACCACAAGGGGGGCACCAUCUCUGAUGCUUUCCCGUGCAUGUCAAGCCCAGGUAAGGUUCUUCGCGUUGCUUCGAAUUGAACCACAUGCUCCACCGCUCGUGCGGGCCCCCGUCAAUUCCUUUGAGUUUCAACCUUGCGACCGUACUCCCCAGGCGGGAUGCUUAAAGCGUUAGCUGCGCCACUGACGAGCAAGCUCGCCAACGGCUAGCAUCCAUCGUUUACGGCGUGGACUAC